GGUUAAGCGACUAAGCGUACACGGUGGAUGCCCUGGCAGUCAGAGGCGAUGAAGGACGUGCUAAUCUGCGAUAAGCGUCGGUAAGGUGAUAUGAACCGUUAUAACCGGCGAUUUCCGAAUGGGGAAACCCAGUGUGAUUCGUCACACUAUCAUUAACUGAAUCCAUAGGUUAAUGAGGCGAACCGGGGGAACUGAAACAUCUAAGUACCCCGAGGAAAAGAAAUCAACCGAGAUUCCCCCAGUAGCGGCGAGCGAACGGGGAGCAGCCCAGAGCCUGAAUCAGUGUGUGUGUUAGUGGAAGCGUCUGGAAAGGCAUGCGAUACAGGGUGACAGCCCCGUACACAAAAAUGCACAUACUGUGAGCUCGAUGAGUAGGGCGGGACACGUGGUAUCCUGUCUGAAUAUGGGGGGACCAUCCUCCAAGGCUAAAUACUCCUGACUGACCGAUAGUGAACCAGUACCGUGAGGGAAAGGCGAAAAGAACCCCGGCGAGGGGAGUGAAAAAGAACCUGAAACCGUGUACGUACAAGCAGUGGGAGCACGCUUAGGCGUGUGACUGCGUACCUUUUGUAUAAUGGGUCAGCGACUUAUAUUCUGUAGCAAGGUUAACCGAAUAGGGGAGCCGAAGGGAAACCGAGUCUUAACUGGGCGUUAAGUUGCAGGGUAUAGACCCGAAACCCGGUGAUCUAGCCAUGGGCAGGUUGAAGGUUGGGUAACACUAACUGGAGGACCGAACCGACUAAUGUUGAAAAAUUAGCGGAUGACUUGUGGCUGGGGGUGAAAGGCCAAUCAAACCGGGAGAUAGCUGGUUCUCCCCGAAAGCUAUUUAGGUAGCGCCUCGUGAAUUCAUCUCCGGGGGUAGAGCACUGUUUCGGCAAGGGGGUCAUCCCGACUUACCAACCCGAUGCAAACUGCGAAUACCGGAGAAUGUUAUCACGGGAGACACACGGCGGGUGCUAACGUCCGUCGUGAAGAGGGAAACAACCCAGACCGCCAGCUAAGGUCCCAAAGUCAUGGUUAAGUGGGAAACGAUGUGGGAAGGCCCAGACAGCCAGGAUGUUGGCUUAGAAGCAGCCAUCAUUUAAAGAAAGCGUAAUAGCUCACUGGUCGAGUCGGCCUGCGCGGAAGAUGUAACGGGGCUAAACCAUGCACCGAAGCUGCGGCAGCGACACUAUGUGUUGUUGGGUAGGGGAGCGUUCUGUAAGCCUGUGAAGGUGUACUGUGAGGUAUGCUGGAGGUAUCAGAAGUGCGAAUGCUGACAUAAGUAACGAUAAAGCGGGUGAAAAGCCCGCUCGCCGGAAGACCAAGGGUUCCUGUCCAACGUUAAUCGGGGCAGGGUGAGUCGACCCCUAAGGCGAGGCCGAAAGGCGUAGUCGAUGGGAAACAGGUUAAUAUUCCUGUACUUGGUGUUACUGCGAAGGGGGGACGGAGAAGGCUAUGUUGGCCGGGCGACGGUUGUCCCGGUUUAAGCGUGUAGGCUGGUUUUCCAGGCAAAUCCGGAAAAUCAAGGCUGAGGCGUGAUGACGAGGCACUACGGUGCUGAAGCAACAAAUGCCCUGCUUCCAGGAAAAGCCUCUAAGCAUCAGGUAACAUCAAAUCGUACCCCAAACCGACACAGGUGGUCAGGUAGAGAAUACCAAGGCGCUUGAGAGAACUCGGGUGAAGGAACUAGGCAAAAUGGUGCCGUAACUUCGGGAGAAGGCACGCUGAUAUGUAGGUGAAGCGACUUGCUCGUGGAGCUGAAAUCAGUCGAAGAUACCAGCUGGCUGCAACUGUUUAUUAAAAACACAGCACUGUGCAAACACGAAAGUGGACGUAUACGGUGUGACGCCUGCCCGGUGCCGGAAGGUUAAUUGAUGGGGUUAGCCGCAAGGCGAAGCUCUUGAUCGAAGCCCCGGUAAACGGCGGCCGUAACUAUAACGGUCCUAAGGUAGCGAAAUUCCUUGUCGGGUAAGUUCCGACCUGCACGAAUGGCGUAAUGAUGGCCAGGCUGUCUCCACCCGAGACUCAGUGAAAUUGAACUCGCUGUGAAGAUGCAGUGUACCCGCGGCAAGACGGAAAGACCCCGUGAACCUUUACUAUAGCUUGACACUGAACAUUGAGCCUUGAUGUGUAGGAUAGGUGGGAGGCUUUGAAGUGUGGACGCCAGUCUGCAUGGAGCCGACCUUGAAAUACCACCCUUUAAUGUUUGAUGUUCUAACGUUGACCCGUAAUCCGGGUUGCGGACAGUGUCUGGUGGGUAGUUUGACUGGGGCGGUCUCCUCCUAAAGAGUAACGGAGGAGCACGAAGGUUGGCUAAUCCUGGUCGGACAUCAGGAGGUUAGUGCAAUGGCAUAAGCCAGCUUGACUGCGAGCGUGACGGCGCGAGCAGGUGCGAAAGCAGGUCAUAGUGAUCCGGUGGUUCUGAAUGGAAGGGCCAUCGCUCAACGGAUAAAAGGUACUCCGGGGAUAACAGGCUGAUACCGCCCAAGAGUUCAUAUCGACGGCGGUGUUUGGCACCUCGAUGUCGGCUCAUCACAUCCUGGGGCUGAAGUAGGUCCCAAGGGUAUGGCUGUUCGCCAUUUAAAGUGGUACGCGAGCUGGGUUUAGAACGUCGUGAGACAGUUCGGUCCCUAUCUGCCGUGGGCGCUGGAGAACUGAGGGGGGCUGCUCCUAGUACGAGAGGACCGGAGUGGACGCAUCACUGGUGUUCGGGUUGUCAUGCCAAUGGCACUGCCCGGUAGCUAAAUGCGGAAGAGAUAAGUGCUGAAAGCAUCUAAGCACGAAACUUGCCCCGAGAUGAGUUCUCCCUGACUCCUUGAGAGUCCUGAAGGAACGUUGAAGACGACGACGUUGAUAGGCCGGGUGUGUAAGCGCAGCGAUGCGUUGAGCUAACCGGUACUAAUGAACCGUGAGGCUUAACCUU
Molecule: ribosomal RNA, 2905 nt
Filed under: Escherichia coli
Lineage: Bacteria; Pseudomonadati; Pseudomonadota; Gammaproteobacteria; Enterobacterales; Enterobacteriaceae
Description: 23S ribosomal RNA
Rfam family: Bacterial large subunit ribosomal RNA
Source: RNAcentral